GAUGAACGCUGGCGGCGUGCCUAAUACAUGCAAGUCGAGCGAACAGACGAGGAGCUUGCCCCUCUGACGUUAGCGGCGGACGGGUGAGUAACACGUGGAGAACCUACCUAUAAGACUGGGAUAACUUCGGGAAACCGGUGCUAAUACCGGAUAAUAUAUUCAACCGCAUGGUUCAAUAGUGAAAGACGGUUUUGCUGUCACUUAUAGAUGGAUCCGCGCCGCAUUAGCUAGUUGGUAAGGUAACGGCUUACCAAGGCGACGAUGCGUAGCCGACCUGAGAGGGUGAUCGGCCACACUGGAACUGAGCCACGGUCCAGACUCCUACGGGAGGCAGCAGUAGGGAAUCUUCCGCAAUGGGCGAAAGCCUGACGGAGCAACGCCGCGUGAGUGAUGAAGGUCUUCGGAUCGUAAAACUCUGUUAUUAGGGAAGAACAAAUGUGUAAGUAACUAUGCACGUCUUGACGGUACCUAAUCAGAAAGCCACGGCUAACUACGUG
RNAcentral lists this ribosomal RNA (497 nucleotides) under uncultured bacterium. RNAcentral describes it as "partial 16S ribosomal RNA". It matches the Rfam family "Bacterial small subunit ribosomal RNA", at positions 28 to 507 of the family's 1533-position model. The record is from RNAcentral.